Molecule: ribosomal RNA, 251 nt
Filed under: uncultured bacterium
Lineage: Bacteria
Description: partial 16S ribosomal RNA
Rfam family: Bacterial small subunit ribosomal RNA
Source: RNAcentral
CGGGUGAGUAACGCGUGGGGAACCUGCCCUGUACAGGGGGAUAACACUUAGAAAUAGGUGCUAAUACCGCAUAAGCGCACAGUAUCGCAUGAUACAGUGUGAAAAACUCCGGUGGUACAGGAUGGGCCCGCGUCUGAUUAGCCAGUUGGCAGGGUAACGGCCUACCAAAGCGACGAUCAGUAGCCGGCCUGAGAGGGCGGACGGCCACACUGGGACUGAGACACGGCCCAGACUCCUACGGAAGGCAGCAG